CAGCAGCCGCGGGAAUACGUAGGGUGCAAGCGUUAAUCGGAAUUACUGGGCGUAAAGCGUGCGCAGGCGGUUAUAUAAGACAGAUGUGAAAUCCCCGGGCUCAACCUGGGAACUGCAUUUGUGACUGUAUAGCUAGAGUACGGCAGAGGGGGAUGGAAUUCCGCGUGUAGCAGUGAAAUGCGUAGAUAUGAGGAGGAACACCGAUGGCGAAGGCAAUCCCCUGGGCCUGUACUGACGCUCAUGCACGAAAGCGUGGGGAGCAAACAGGAUUAGAUACCCCCGUAGUCCCUGUCUCUUAUAC
RNAcentral lists this ribosomal RNA (301 nucleotides) under uncultured bacterium. RNAcentral's name for it is "partial 16S ribosomal RNA". It matches the Rfam family "Bacterial small subunit ribosomal RNA", at positions 509 to 807 of the family's 1533-position model. The record is from RNAcentral.